RNAcentral lists this unclassified non-coding RNA (401 nucleotides) under soil metagenome. RNAcentral's name for it is "partial contains 5.8S ribosomal RNA, internal transcribed spacer 2, and large subunit ribosomal RNA". The stretch from base 1 to 121 matches the Rfam family "5.8S ribosomal RNA", at positions 35 to 154 of the family's 154-position model. The record is from RNAcentral.
GAUGAAGAACGCAGCGAAAUGCGAUAAGUAAUGUGAAUUGCAGAAUUCAGUGAAUCAUCGAAUCUUUGAACGCACCUUGCGCCCUUUGGCUAUUCCAAAGGGCAUGCCUGUUUGAGUAUCAUGAACACCUCAACUCUCAUGGUCUGCCAUGAUGAGCUUGGACUUUGGAGGUCUGCUGGCCUGUGGUCAGCUCCUCUCAAAUGAAUCAGCUUUCCGGUGUUUGGUGGCAUCAUGGGUGUGAUAAAUAUCUACGCUUGUGGUUUUCCACCAGGUAACCUUCAGUGAUGGGGGUUCGCUGGGGCUCAUAAAUGUCUCUCCUCAGCGAAGACAGCUUUGUGAAUGUUUGAUCUCAAAUCGGGUAGGACUACCCGCUGAACUUAAGCAUAUCAAUAAGCGGAGGA